GACGAACGCUGGCGGCGUGCCUAACACAUGCAAGUCGAACGGAGGUAUUUAUUUCGGUAGAUAUCUUAGUGGCGAACGGGUGAGUAACGCGUGAGCAACCUGACCUAAAGAGGGGGAUAACAUUCGGAAACGGAUGCUAAUACCGCAUAAGACCACAUUGUCACAUGACAGAGGGGUCAAAGGAGAGAUCCGCUUUGGGAGGGGCUCGCGUCCCAUUAGGUAGUUGGUGAGGUAACGGCUCACCAAGCCUGCGAUGGGUAGCCGAGCUGAGAGGCUGAACGGCCACACUGGAACUGAGACACGGUCCAGACUCCUACGGGAGGCUG
RNAcentral lists this ribosomal RNA (326 nucleotides) under uncultured Bacillota bacterium. RNAcentral describes it as "bacterial SSU rRNA". It matches the Rfam family "Bacterial small subunit ribosomal RNA", at positions 28 to 351 of the family's 1533-position model. The record is from RNAcentral. Lineage: Bacteria; Bacillati; Bacillota.